This 467-nucleotide ribosomal RNA is filed under the name uncultured bacterium. RNAcentral's name for it is "partial 16S ribosomal RNA". It matches the Rfam family "Bacterial small subunit ribosomal RNA", at positions 28 to 506 of the family's 1533-position model. The record is from RNAcentral.
GACGAACGCUGGCGGCGUGCUUAACACAUGCAAGUCGAACGGAAAGGCCCUGCUUUUGUGGGGUGCUCGAGUGGCGAACGGGUGAGUAACACGUGAGUAACCUGCCCUUGACUUUGGGAUAACUUCAGGAAACUGGGGCUAAUACCGGAUAGGAGCUCCUGCUGCAUGGUGGGGGUUGGAAAGUUUCGGCGGUUGGGGAUGGACUCGCGGCUUAUCAGCUUGUUGGUGGGGUAGUGGCUUACCAAGGCUUUGACGGGUAGCCGGCCUGAGAGGGUGACCGGCCAAAUUGGGACUGGAAUACGGCCCGGACCCCUACGGGGGGCAGAAGGGGGGAAUAUUGCAAAAUGGGGGGAAGCCUGAUGCAGCACCGCCGGGGGGGGGAGGACGGCCUUGGGGUUGUAAACCGCUUUCGCCUGUGACGAAGGGGGAGUGACGGUAAUGGGUAAAGAAGCACCGGCUAACUACGU